Molecule: transfer RNA, 63 nt
Filed under: Phaenacantha marcida
Lineage: Eukaryota; Metazoa; Arthropoda; Insecta; Hemiptera; Colobathristidae
Description: tRNA-Pro
Source: RNAcentral
CAGUAAGUAGUUUAUUAAAAUAUUAAUUUUGGAUAUUAAAGAUGGGUUUAUUCUCUUUACUGA